Molecule: ribosomal RNA, 506 nt
Filed under: uncultured bacterium
Lineage: Bacteria
Description: partial 16S ribosomal RNA
Rfam family: Bacterial small subunit ribosomal RNA
Source: RNAcentral
GAUGAACGCUAGCUACAGGCUUAACACAUGCAAGUCGAGGGGUAACAAGAGGAAAGCUUGCUUUUCUUGUUGACGACCGGCGCACGGGUGAGUAACGCGUAUCCAACCUGCCUAUAACUAGGGAAUAACCUUGCGAAAGUAAGACUAAUACCCUAUGAUUUCCUUUGAUGACAUCAAAUUAGGAAUAAAGAUUUAUCGGUUAUAGAGGGGGAUGCGUCUGAUUAGCUUGUUGGCGGGGUAACGGCCCACCAAGGCAACGAUCAGUAGGGGUUCUGGGAGGAAGGUCCCCCACAUUGGAACUGAGAAACGGUCCAAACUCCUACGGGAGGCAGCAGUGAGGAAUAUUGGUCAAUGGGCGGAAGCCUGAACCAGCCAAGUAGCGUGCAGGAUGACGGCCCUAUGGGUUGUAAACUGCUUUUAUACAGGAAUAAAGUUAGCCACGUGUGGUUAUUUGUAGGUACUGUAUGAAUAAGGACCGGCUAAUUCCGUGCCAGCCGCCGCGGUAA